UACAGAGGGUGCGAGCGUUAAUCGGAAUUACUGGGCGUAAAGCGUGCGUAGGUGGACGUUUAAGUCGAAUGUGAAAGCCCCGGGCUUAACCUGGGAACUGCAUCCGAGACUGGACAUCUAGAGUAUGGUAGAGGAAAGUGGAAUUCCCGGUGUAGCGGUGAAAUGCGUAGAUAUCGGGAGGAACAUCAGUGGCGAAGGCGACUUUCUGGGCUAAUACUGACACUGAGGCACGAAAGCGUGGGGAGCAAACAGG
RNAcentral lists this ribosomal RNA (253 nucleotides) under uncultured bacterium. RNAcentral describes it as "partial 16S ribosomal RNA". It matches the Rfam family "Bacterial small subunit ribosomal RNA", at positions 524 to 776 of the family's 1533-position model. The record is from RNAcentral.